AAAUGAAUUGACGGGGGCCCGCACAAGCAGUGGAGUAUGUGGUUUAAUUCGACGCAACGCGAAGAACCUUACCAGGUCUUGACAUCCAACUAACGAAGUAGAGAUACAUCAGGUGCCCUUCGGGGAAAGUUGAGACAGGUGGUGCAUGGUUGUCGUCAGCUCGUGUCGUGAGAUGUUGGGUUAAGUCCCGCAACGAGCGCAACCCUUGUUUUUAGUUGCUACGUAAGAGCACUCUAAAGAGACUGCCGUUGACAAAACGGAGGAAGGUGGGGACGACGUCAAAUCAUCAUGCCCUUUAUGACCUGGGCUACACACGUACUACAAUGGCCGUUAACAGAGGGAAGCAAAACCGCGAGGUGGAGCAAAACCCUAAAAACGGUCCCAGUUCAGAUUGUAGGCUGCAACUCGCCUAUAUGAAGUUGGAAUUGCUAGUAAUCGCGGAUCAGCAUGCCGCGGUGAAUACGUUCCCGGGCCUUGUACACACCGCCCGU
This 491-nucleotide ribosomal RNA is filed under the name uncultured bacterium. RNAcentral describes it as "bacterial SSU rRNA". It matches the Rfam family "Bacterial small subunit ribosomal RNA", at positions 903 to 1397 of the family's 1533-position model. The record is from RNAcentral.